UAGCAUAUCAAUAAGCGGAGGAAAAGAAAGCAACAGCGAUAGCCUCAGUAACGGCGAGUGAAGCGGCUACAGCUCAAAUUUGAAAUCUGGCCUCCUUUGGGGGUCCGAGUUGUAAUUUGCAGAGGAUGCUUUGGCAUUGGCGGCGGUCUAAGUUCCUUGGAACAGGACAUCGCAGAGGGUGAGAAUCCCGUACGUGGGCGCCUGCCUUUGCCGUGUAAAGCUCCUUCGACGAGUCGAGUUGUUUGGGAAUGCAGCUCUAAAUGGGAGGUAAAUUUCUCCUAAAGCUAAAUACCGGCCAGAGACCGAUAGCGCACAAGUAGAGUGAUCGAAAGAUGAAAAGUACUUUGGAAAGAGAGUCAAAUAGCACGUGAAAUUGUUGAAAGGGAAGCGCUUGCAGCCAGACUUGCCCGCAGUUGCUCACCUAGGCUUUCGCCUGGGGCACUCUUCUGCGGGCAGGCCAGCAUCAGUUUGGGCGGUCGGAUAAAGGCCUCUGUCAUGUACCACCCCUCGGGGUGGCCUUAUAGGGGAGGCGUAAUGCGACCAGCCCGGACUGAGGUCCGCGCAUCUGCUAGGAUGCUGGCGUAAUGGCUGUAAGCGGCCCGUCUUGAAACACGGACCAAGGAGUCUAACAUCUAUGCGAGUGUUUGGGUGUCAAGCCCGGGCGCGCAAUGAAAGUGAACGGAGGUGGGAACCCUUCGGGGUGCACCAUCGACCGAUCCUGAAGUCUUCGGAUGGAUUUGAGUAAGAGCAUAGCUGUUGGGACCCGAAAGAUGGUGAACUAUGCUUGAAUAGGGUGAAGCCAGAGGAAACUCUGGUGGAGGCUCGCAGCGGUUCUGACGUGCAAAUCGAUCGUCAAAUUUGGGCAUAGGGGCGAAAGACUAAUCGAACCAUCUAGUAGCUGGUUCCUG
This 908-nucleotide ribosomal RNA is filed under the name Pithomyces sp. RNAcentral describes it as "partial large subunit ribosomal RNA". It matches the Rfam family "Eukaryotic large subunit ribosomal RNA", at positions 36 to 960 of the family's 3401-position model. The record is from RNAcentral. Lineage: Eukaryota; Fungi; Ascomycota; Dothideomycetes; Pleosporales; Astrosphaeriellaceae.